This 495-nucleotide ribosomal RNA is filed under the name uncultured chlorarachniophyte. Its description in RNAcentral is "SSU rRNA". It matches the Rfam family "Eukaryotic small subunit ribosomal RNA", at positions 451 to 942 of the family's 1831-position model. Lineage: Eukaryota; Cercozoa; Chlorarachniophyceae. The record is from RNAcentral.
CCGACACGGGGAGGUAGUGACAAGAAAUAGCGAUACCGGGCUCUUACGAGUCUGGUAAUUGCAAUGGACGUAUUGUAAAUGCCUACGUGAGUAUCCAUUGGAGGGCAAGUCUGGUGCCAGCAGCCGCGGUAAUUCCAGCUCCAAUAGCGUAUAUUAAAGUUGUUGCAGUUAAAAAGCUCGUAGUUGGAUUUCAGUCUUAGCGCUCCUGGCCCGCGCCCUUGAGGCGCCGAGUGCCGGAUGAGCGCUGGACUUCCUUCUGGCAAGGAUCUUCUACCCCUAUGGGGCCGGGAGUGACUUCUGGAUCAUUUACUUUGAAGAAAUUAGAGUGUUCAAAGCAAGCUUACGCUGUGAAUAUAUUAGCAUGGAAUAAUAACAUAGGACUCGGGUUCUAUUUUGUUGGUUUCUAGGACUCAAGUAAUGAUUGAUAGGGACAGUUGGGGGUGCUGCUAUUAUAUGGCCAGAGGUGAAAUUCACGGAUUCAUAUAAGAGCAACUU